Molecule: long non-coding RNA, 1037 nt
Organism: Tympanuchus pallidicinctus (lesser prairie-chicken)
Lineage: Eukaryota; Metazoa; Chordata; Aves; Galliformes; Phasianidae
Exons: 4
Source: RefSeq, a predicted model, not a curated record
CUCAUUUAUGGGUUGGUAGUGGAGAGGAGGUCACCUGUAGAUUCCUGACUACCUGAGGGCUUCAUAGGUCUUCUGAAGGGAUCAUCAAGUCAAGCUCCUGAUUCCAGAAACUACCUCCCAGAAAUCAAAGUGUGUGUCUGAGAGUGUUGUCCUCUAUGAGAAGAGACCCCCAUCAGUGUUGUUCUGGGAAGGUUAUCCAUGCCAGAUGUUUGCAGUAAUAAAUGGAGCCUAUGAAUCUUAAUACAGAUAUAGGAAUCUGCAGCGUGGACCUCUACGGCUAAAGGAAAUGAAUCCUGAUCAAACUACACUAAUAAUAAGAAGUUAGCAGAGAAUUUUCCAAACAGAACAUUUAUCAUGUCUACAGUAAUGUUACACAGUGGUCCAAGGAGGUUGUAGAACUGCUAAAAAGAUUCAAGAUUAUAAUACCAUUUUCCCACUGGAAAGGGGAUUGUUGGAAAAAACAUCUGCUUAGAAAAGACCUAAUUUUCACCUUUCUCAUCAUCACAUUAGUGCUGUUUUUUGUAUGCAGCUGCACAAUCUCAAAAUGUUGUCUGCCAAAUUGCUGUACUUUUGGCUUAUUCUUUCGGUUUAGAGAUUGGGAUUUAAAGGUGUAAUUAUUAAACUAUUGGGAAGUAUUGUUUUAAUAGAAGACACAUAGAAUUUACUGCAAGUUGUCAGGUUUGAUAAUCCUGGCAAGCAAAAGACUUCUCACUUUUCAAGUAAUAACUUGAAUACAUUUAUCUUCUUAAUAAGGCCCUCAAAUACUGUACCAUGUUUCCAAGCUCCUCCAUUGCAGUGAUGACGUGUAUAGGAAGGAGAACUAUGGUAGUGACUGUGCAGUUAUUCUAUGUUUAAAAAUGGUUUGUGAGGGAUUUCUAGGACUUUUGUACCCUGAAACAUAGGAAGCUUCAUAUUUUGAAACAUCUCCCCCCUUCCUGCUGCACCUGAGAAUGGUUCCUUGUUUGAAUCUCCCUUGAACUGUCUAGAUUUUUUUUUUUUUUGUAAUCUUGGAGCUGACUGUCAUAGUGAGCCAAUAA